RNAcentral lists this ribosomal RNA (274 nucleotides) under uncultured bacterium. RNAcentral's name for it is "partial 16S ribosomal RNA". It matches the Rfam family "Bacterial small subunit ribosomal RNA", at positions 523 to 796 of the family's 1533-position model. The record is from RNAcentral.
AUCCGAAGGGGGCUAGCGUUGUUCGGAAUCACUGGGCGUAAAGCGCGCGCAGGCGGGCUGAUAAGUUGGAUGUGAAAGCCUACGGCUCAACCGUAGAACUGCAUCCAAAACUGUCAGUCUAGAGUCUGGGAGGGGAAGAUGGAAUUAGUUGUGUAGGGGUAAAAUCCGUAGAGAUAACUAGGAAUACCAAAAGCGAAGGCGAUCUUCUGGAACAGUACUGACGCUGAGGCGCGAAAGCGUGGGGAGCAAACAGGAUUAGAAACCCUAGUAGUCC